CCAGACUCCUACGGGAGGCAGCAGUGAGGAAUAUUGGUCAAUGGGCUUACGCCUGAACCAGCCAAGUCGCGUGAGGGAAGACGGCCCUACGGGUUGUAAGCCUCUUUUGUCGGGGAGCAAAGCGAGUCACGUGUGACUCAUUGAGAGUACCCGAAGAAAAAGCAUCGGCUAACUCCGUGCCAGCAGCCGCGGUAAUACGGAGGAUGCGAGCGUUAUCCGGAUUUAUUGGGUUUAAAGGGUGCGUAGGCGGGAUGCCAAGUCAGCGGUAAAAAUGCGGUGCUCAACGCCGUCGAGCCGUUGAAACUGGCGUUCUUGAGUGGGCGAGAAGUAUGCGGAAUGCGUGGUGUAGCGGUGAAAUGCAUAGAUAUCACGCAGAACUCCGAUUGCGAAGGCAGCAUACCGGCGCGCAACUGACGCUCAUGCACGAAAGCGUGGGUAUCGAACAGGAUUAGAUACCCUAGUA
Molecule: ribosomal RNA, 463 nt
Filed under: uncultured bacterium
Lineage: Bacteria
Description: bacterial SSU rRNA
Rfam family: Bacterial small subunit ribosomal RNA
Source: RNAcentral